UUUUUUACUAAAAAAAAAAAAAGGAAUAGUCUAUGAUAGACAAGAAACUGUAGGUAAAAUAUAGUCAAGACCAUUGGAAUACUGAACAUUUGCUCCCAGAAAUACCUGUGUGAUAUGGAAGCUCAAAAGAUAACUUUUCAGUCAGGUGAGGAUGUGAAUUCAUCAUCUUUUGGAAACUUUAAAAUUUAGAUUUAAGUUGUUUGGCAGAAACUCUCUAUAUUUUGUGGCUAUUAUUAUUAUUAUUUUUUAUUAUUAUUAUUUUUACAGCUAUAAAUUAUUAUCAUUAUUAUUGAUAUGCUAAUCAAACUAAAAUGAAAAUAAUUCCUGAUGUAUAAAUACUUUUCACACUGUCAGACGACGAUUAUGCAGUAAUGGAUUCAGAGAUUGGAUCACUCCUCGAUUAUAUUGAUUGUGUACAGUAAGAAGUAUUUUUGUGAAACAGCAAGUAACACUUUGGAUUAAACGUGAAUGUUUGAUGUAGAAAGACUGAAAUAGUCCCCUAAAACUUACUCCAAGAAUCUGUUUUAUUUACAACUUCCACAACAUAAGUCUCUUAAUCGUGUACAAAUUUAAGUAGAACAAGAAAAUGGGUUUUGCUUACAACGCCUUGUUUUACUAUGCAUAAGCAUAACCUCAUCUGCAUAUAAUUUCCAUGAAUAUUCCCAUCCACAUCACACCAUGUUUAACACCGUCAAAGGUUCAGGACAUUAAGGAAAUAUACGGACUAUAAAUGUCAUUUGUGCCAUACAUAAUUUUUAUUGCUAAAUAUCAUCCAAUAUCCUUUUUAUGUUUUAGAAUAAAUAUAUCAAAAUAUCCAUAAAAACAAAACUGUUUAAAAUUGGAGUUGAUCUAAUUCUUUCCCGCUGGCCAAAUAGUACUUCAAUUGUUUUAAACAAUUAAAAAUCAAAUUAAAUUUAUGCAGUUUUUGCUGAUAAGGUGAACAUCUUUUAGCUAUUUUUAGUUGAUACACUAAAGAUGAAUAAUUGUGCACCUAAAGCACUCCUCGCUGUCAUUAAAACAUAGCAUGCCAAAGGAAAAGUGAUCAAGCGCAUCCACUAUAAAUAUGUCUAAAUUCAUAUCAUUUUUGUUUAACUUCUGCGUAAUGACUUUAUGUAAUUUUAGUGCUUUAUGUAAUUCCAUUCAUGGGAGUGGAAUAUUUAAUGUAAAUGUGUAAUUAUCGAAAAAAAAUAAAAAUAAUAAUAAUUGUUGUUUACUUCAUUACAUUUCUCACUCCAGGAAAAACAGGACGUAGGCCUAUGCAUUAUCAGAUUAAGUGUUAUCGGAUUACUUGCCAUGGUAACCAGAGGCCUGUUUUGCCUUUUUGGGGUGUUAGGACAGUAUUAAUUGCACUGCCCCUUAUUAUGCGUCACAUUAUCAUGUGUGAGUAAUAUUACGUUAUAAAAAUCUGAAAAGUCUAUUUCCAGAGUUUAUGCUAGUCACUGUAGUAAGACAGAAAUAAAGAGAAAGUAAAAGUGACAUCAUGUUUCAUAAGUCAGCCUUUAAAGUCAAACCAUUUCAACUGCUAAGACAUUUUGAUUUAUGUAUUUACAGUGUACCUGCGUAGUUUGGGAUUAAAUUUAUCAGACGUAUAAAAAUGUUUGAUUGACUGCUAACACCUAUUUUGUUGAGCAUGUUGAGGGGGUAAAAUGGUUUCUUUUCUCAGAUGUGCCUCAUGAUAAAACAUCAUCAGUUUCUGGCUUUCUAAAGGUCAGGACACACCAAGCCAAUGUCAGGCCGACGGCGACAGUUGGGCUAGUUUGUCUGGUGUGUUCCACUCGUCGUCUCACGUCGGCGGCAGUUUGCCCGAUUCAACAUGUUGAAUGUUCAAGACCUGUAAAGUUUAAAAUGUUCAAAUGACACAUAAAAGCUUAAUUCGUCUUCGGAACACAAUUUAAGAUAUUUUGGAUGAAAACUUGAGGCUUGUGACUGUCCCAUAGACUGCUAAGUAAAUAACAGUGUCAAGGUCCAGAAAAGUAUGAAAGACAUCGUCAGAAUACUCCAUCUGCCAUCAGUGAUUUAACUGUAACAUUAUGAAGCGACGAGAAUACUUUUCAUGUGUAAAGAAAACAAAAAUAAUGACUUUAUUUAACAAUUUGUCUCCUCUGUGUCUCUCCACAUCACCGUAGCGCCAUUAUGAAGAAUAUCCGCUGAACCCAAAUUGCACACGUUCUUCUGUGUCAGCCACGACACAAGGAUACGUUUUCUAUGUGUAUUUAUGCUUUGAUUUGAAAAAAACUGGACCUCCAUGCAGCGGAUUUCAUACUUUUCUGGACCUUGACAGUGUAAUUUACUUGGCAGUCAUUGGGACAGUCACAAGCCUCCUGGUUUUCAUCCAAAAUAUCUUAAAUUGUGUUCUGAAGAUGAAUGAAGAGUUUAUGGGUUUGGAAUGACAGGGGGGUAAGUGAUUAAUGUGGCUCAGUGGUAGAGUGUUGCGUUAGCAGCACAAAAGGUCAUGAGUUCAAUUCUCAGGGAACACACAUACUGGUAAAGAAAAAAAAAAAGAUAGCCUGAAUGCCUGAGUCGCUUUGGAUAAAAGCAUCUGCUAAAUGCAUAAAUGAAAUGAAAUGACAAAAUCUUCAUUUUGGGGUGGAGUAUGCCUUUAAAGUUAAAACAUUUUGGAUUUGUGGGCUUUCAAUGGAUGGACAAAAUAGAUAAGAGAAUAUUAAACGUAUUUUAUAUUAAUUUUUUUUAAUAAUUUAUUAAACUAUAUUGGUACCCUGUGGCAUUAUCAUUAUAGCUGUGCUGUGGACUUCACUAUUUUCCUAGAAUUAAGAUUAUUAAAACUUUGUAGUUAUCGUUCUUGGUGUGAACACACCUUAAGCCUAAGGUCUAGACUAGUCCUUUUAAGAGAGAAUUUACAAGGUUAUCUGAACCUUAUCAAUGUUAAAUGAACUGACCUAAUAAUCCAACAUUGUGUGUGUAAUUUUACAUGAAACGUUAUCAAAUUCCAGCUAUUGCAAUAUAAUCAAAAUCUUUUUAUUCCAAUUAUUGAAAUAUAAUACCAUGUUGAAAAGCUAUUAAGCUGAAUGUUUUUGUACAGUGAAAAUCAUGCAUUUCAAUCACCAAAAUAAGAUGAAGCCUUCAUUAGACAAAACACAUUAACUGAAAAUCUCAGUUCACAAUAGGAUUCUUAGAUGGUGAGAAGCACAUAAGACUCUUCACCUGCAGUAAUCUCUUUAAGACCAGACUAAACCCAAUUCUGGACUAGGUUAAUGACAUAACAGGACAAAUGAGCGUUAUUUAACAGCAUGUUUAAUAAAAAGAAAUUACUUGUUUUCUAAUGGUUAAGUAUUAUUUCAAACCUUAAUGUAAAAUGUAACUCGAUGGUAAUUUUCUCAAUUUUUAAAAAAUGUUUUAGGACUGUAAAAAGCAUCUGCAAGUCAGUUUUCCUAAAAACAAAAAAAAAAAACAACAACAACAACAGCAUUUAGUUUGAUUACGUUUAAUUUUCCUUUUAGUAAACAUUUUAAUCUAUAUAAACAAAGCAAUAUAAAAACCAGGGCUCAGAAAUAUAAUUAAUGUUAAUUAGAUGUAAAAUGAUCACGAUGGGGGUUGGGUGUAUAAGUUAGGAGCAUCUCAUAUCUACUUAUUAAAUAAAACAAAGACCAGAUUUUAGCCAUACAGAAGCAUGUGAAAGAAAAAUAUGCCAUCAUAAAUAACGUUGACUGAGCUAACUAAACUAAAAUGGAAAUUAUAAUCUUUGUGAACAUUUAUCCUGACCUGAAUCAAAUGGUUAUUGCACUAGAGAUGGGCUGCAAUCAUAUUUAUAUGGCCACUGUUGUUGCCGUAGAUCCCACACCAGCAUCUGUAGGUGAUGCAUCUCUGAAGGGCACGGUGAGGAGAACGCAGAACAUCGGGUGUGCGCUAGUAGUCUCUACUUUCAGGGCAAACCUUCAUAAACGUCACCUCACAACCGUAGGAGAGCUUCACCACAGAACUAAAAGACAGCGAGGAGGGGUCGUCAGCUCCAUUCAGUGAAUCAGAGACAAGGUUACGAGUGAUGAUGUGGAAGUGUGUCCAUGUGCACAUUCAUCUUCAUCUCAUUCUCCAGAAUUUGGACUAGUUGCUGCAUGGAAGGCAGAUGGCCUGACUCCAGCUUGGACCAAACUGGAACAUCUAACCAAAAAAUGCCCCGAAAUAGUGUUACUAUGGUGAUAAUACAACCACGCCAUCUUGCUAACUUCCGCCAGACUAAACCACCGAAUUAUGCUAAAGCCACACUGCUUCUCUUUAAAGAUGUCAACAAACAUCUGAGAGACAGAGAACAACUCUAAUUCUUCUGAUUUGAUAAACAAUUUCUUUCAUAGUACAUUUUCAAUGUGCUAUUCCAUAAAAAGAGCUUGAAUGCCGUGGGUCAAGAUAGCUUAUGUUUUUCUGAAAAGGGUCAUAAAAAGAUUUUCUAAACUUUAAAAUCAUUCAAUCAUCCCAUUUAAAAAACAAAAUACAAGUAUGUAUGGGUUUAGGCAAAUUAAUAUUCAAUUAUUAUACUACAAAUAAAAUAACUUAUUAAGAAAC
Molecule: long non-coding RNA, 4515 nt
Organism: Cyprinus carpio carpio
Lineage: Eukaryota; Metazoa; Chordata; Actinopteri; Cypriniformes; Cyprinidae
Source: Ensembl